GACGAACGCUGGCGGCGUGCUUAACACAUGCAAGUCGAACGGAAAGGCCCUGCUCUUGCGGGGUGCUCGAGUGGGGAACGGGUGAGUAACACGUGAGUAUCCCGCCCUUGACAUUGGGAUAUCUUCAGGAGACUGGGGCUAUUACCGGAUAGGAGCCCCCGCUGCACGGGGGGGGUUGGAAAGUUUCGGCGGAUGGGGAUGGACUCGGGGGUUACCACCUUGUUGGUGGGGUAGUGGCUUACCAAGGCUUUGAAGGGUAGCCGACCUUAGCGGGUGACCGGCGACAUUGGUCCUGAGAGAGGGCGCAGAAGCCUACGGGAGGCAACAGUGGGGAAUCUUGCACAAUGGGGCGGCGCCUGAGGCAGCGACGCCGGGAGCGGGAUGACGGCCUUCGGGUUAUAAACCGCUUUCGCCUGUGACGAAGCGUGAGUGACGGUAAUGGGUAAAGAAGCACCGGCUAACUACGUG
Molecule: ribosomal RNA, 468 nt
Filed under: uncultured bacterium
Lineage: Bacteria
Description: partial 16S ribosomal RNA
Rfam family: Bacterial small subunit ribosomal RNA
Source: RNAcentral